This 218-nucleotide unclassified non-coding RNA is filed under the name root metagenome. RNAcentral's name for it is "partial contains small subunit ribosomal RNA, internal transcribed spacer 1, and 5.8S ribosomal RNA". The record is from RNAcentral.
UCUCCGUUGGUGAACCAGCGGAGGGAUCAUUACCGAGUUUACAACUCCCAAACCCAUGUGAACAUACCUACUGUUGCUUCGGCGGGAUUGCCCCGGGCGCCUCGUGUGCCCCGGAUCAGGCGCCCGCCGGAGGUAAACCAAACUAUUGCAUUAAUGGCCUCUCUGAGUCUUCUGUACUGAAUAAGUCAAAACUUUCAACAACGGAUCUCUUGGUUCUG